CUCUUCUUCUCAGCAUGCGUGUUCCGAUCGGAACGCUUAAAGUGAAGAACUUCACCAGAGAGGUGGCUUUCCUAGCGAGGUUGCGCGUUCUGGUUUUGUGUGAACUGCGGGUGCAGAUGCUCCUUUCUACGUCUGCUGCUUGCCCUCAACCCCUACUUCCCUUGGUUCCGUCCGGAAAAAGAAGACUCCCCACCAUUCUGAGUGCUCUCUUAGCCGCUUACUCCCGAGUCAGGUGGCACUCCCGGAGAAAAUCCCCCUUCCCCGCAACUCUACUCCCCGUCCUGGGAAAGGGCGUCUUCCACCGCCGGACGUGUGUCCUAGCUAGGAAAACAGAAAUUUAAAGAAAUGGAUGAUGAACCAGAAAGAACAAAACGGUGGGAAGGAGGUUAUGAAAGAACAUGGGAGAUUCUCAAAGAAGAUGAGUCUGGAUCAUUGAAAGCUUCUAUUGAGGAUAUUCUUUACAAGGCAAAAAGAAAACGAAUUUUUGAGCAUCAUGGACAAGUUCGGCUUGGGAUGAUGCGUCACUUAUAUGUAGUGAUUGAUGGAUCAAGAACAAUGGAAGACCAAGACUUGAAACCUAACAGAUUAACUUGUACUUUAAAGUUACUAGAAUAUUUUGUUGAAGAAUAUUUUGACCAAAAUCCCAUUAGUCAGAUUGGCAUUAUUGUGACUAAGGGUAAAAGAGCUGAAAAACUGACUGAGCUUUCAGGAAAUCCAAGGAAACACACAGCUGCUCUGAAAAAGGCGGUAGAUAUGACUUGCCUAGGAGAGCCUUCUCUAUAUAAUGCCUUAAAUUUGGCCACACAGACCUUGAAGCACAUGCCAGGACACACAAGCCGAGAGGUUUUAGUAAUAUUCAGCAGCCUGACAACUUGUGAUCCUUCCAAUAUAUAUGACUUGAUUAAGUGUUUAAAGACACAGAAGAUCAGAGUGUCUGUUAUUGGCCUCUCUGCUGAAGUUCGAGUUUGUACUGUACUUGCUCGUGAAACUGGUGGAACGUAUCAUGUCAUUUUAGAUGAAAGCCAUUUCAAAGAGCUCCUUGUGCACCAUGUAAGUCCACCACCAGCUAGUUCAGGUUCUGAAAGUUCCCUUAUUCGGAUGGGUUUUCCUCAGCACACGAUUGCAUCUUUGACCGAUCAGGAUGCAAAGCCAUCUUUUAGCAUGGCGCACCUGGAAAACAGCAGUGAUCCAGGUCUUACAUUGGGAGGUUAUUUCUGCCCCCAGUGUAGAGCCAAAUAUUGUGAGCUGCCUGUGGAAUGCAAAGUUUGUGGUCUUACACUAGUAUCAGCUCCCCAUCUGGCUCGAUCUUACCAUCACCUUUUUCCUUUGGAUGCCUUUGAGGAAAUUCCUCUGGAACAAUAUACAGGAGAACGCUGUUGUCAAGGAUGCCAAGGAGAAAUCAGAGAUCAACAUGUCUAUAUCUGUAAAACCUGCCAGAGUGUUUUUUGUGUUGAAUGUGAUAUUUUUACUCAUGAAACUCUCCACUGCUGCCCAGGCUGCAUUCACAAACAUCCUGCACCUUCCUGUGUUUGAUGUCAUCUAUUUUUGAUCAGUGCAUUUUGUUAAAUUCCUUCAUAUGGAGAGAGUAGCCACAUCAGCUGCUCUGUGAAAUAGGUGGAAGAUGGGGAAGAGUACCUACUUGUAUGCUCAUGACACUGGCUAAGCAGGUUGGCUGGGCCAAUUGUUUGGACAUGCCAACAUUCAACCAGGUUAAAACCAGCUUUCGAAUCAUUCAUCUCACUAUUUCUGGAGCUGCUUGCAAGCUUUUUCUGGGCCCCACCGCUCUUCGUGAGGUAUAUAAUCUGAGUGAGAGAGACUGGUUGAGACACCCCGAGGGUACCACUUCUAUGGGGCAGGAAUUCCCAUCCACUGGCAGCACAAAAAGCUUCUGAAAUCUGCCUGGUUUUUACUAAUUUGGGCCAUGUAUGGAUGUGUAAGGAAUUUCAAAAGCCCAAGAUUUCUCCAUAAAUCACCAUUUGCCCAGCUGUAUUUUUGUGUAACUGAUGACUUUUCACCAUUUAAAAAUUUGUCAGUCCAACACAAGCG
This is a non-coding RNA of Pogona vitticeps (central bearded dragon), 2046 nucleotides long. The record is from RefSeq and is a predicted model, not a curated record. Lineage: Eukaryota; Metazoa; Chordata; Lepidosauria; Squamata; Agamidae.